This 186-nucleotide ribosomal RNA is filed under the name Triticum aestivum (bread wheat). RNAcentral's name for it is "partial small subunit ribosomal RNA". Lineage: Eukaryota; Viridiplantae; Streptophyta; Magnoliopsida; Poales; Poaceae. The record is from RNAcentral.
AGCAAUGUUCGUGAUCUUGUGGGCCUUGUGCAAGCUCACUCCCCUAGUAUCGUCUUCCUUUGUGAAAUUAGGCAGUCUAAGAAUAAAAUGAGUAGGUACCGUGCUCGGUUAGGGUUACGAGGUUUUGAUGCUUCUGCUAGCGUUGGUCUUAGUGGUGGUCUUGCUUUGUACUGGCAUGAGUCCUUG